This 353-nucleotide transfer-messenger RNA is filed under the name Planctomycetota. RNAcentral describes it as "SHNF01 sp004295085 Standard tmRNA". It matches the Rfam family "transfer-messenger RNA". From Rfam's summary of the family: Bacterial tmRNA, also known as 10Sa RNA or SsrA, is named for its dual tRNA and mRNA-like properties. Its role is to liberate the mRNA from a stalled ribosome. To accomplish this part of the tmRNA is used as a reading frame that ends in a translation stop signal. The record is from RNAcentral. Lineage: Bacteria; Pseudomonadati. RNAcentral also lists the same sequence under 1 other name.
GGGGGCGACCGGUUUCGACUGGACGCUCGUCGCGGAACGGUGGCGUGCCGAGGACGCCGGGUUGGCCUCGUAAAACCUCCCGGCAAGGCUUAACUGCCAACACUGAUUACGCACUCGCUGCCUAACAACGGCUAGCGCGCUGCCGGGGAUCCCGCCCGCGGAGCCCCGGUGGCGUACCGAUGCGGGCUGGCGACCGGUCGCGCCCCGCGGCCGGAGCGAGAACCCAGGGGCUGGCGUGGAGCGCCGCCUGCCGGCGAGCAGUGCUCCGCGUGAGAACCGAUCACCGGCUACGCACGUAGAAGCCCUCCGCGCGGCGGCCCAGGACGCGGGUUCGAUUCCCGCCGCCUCCACCA